GGAUGUGAGGGUGAUUUGGCUGGGACAUCUGUCAGACCAAUGAUUGCCAGAGUUGAUUCAGCUGAUCUGGCUGGCUAGGUGGGUGUCCCCUUCCUCUCUCACUGCUCCAUGUGCAUCCCUCCUGGAGCUGUGUGCUUGUUCAAAGAGGACGACCUUCCUCGGUUGAGGAGGACAGUUCUUCGGUCAAGGGUAUACGAGUAGCUGCGCUCCCCUGCUAGAACCUCCAAACAAGCUCUCAAGGUCCAUUUGUAAGAGAACAUAGGGUAGUCAAGCUUCCAAGACUCCAGACCCACCCAAAU
Molecule: small nuclear RNA, 299 nt
Filed under: Neogale vison (American mink)
Lineage: Eukaryota; Metazoa; Chordata; Mammalia; Carnivora; Mustelidae
Description: Neovison vison (American mink) 7SK RNA (ENSNVIG00000017416.1)
Rfam family: 7SK RNA
About the family: 7SK was discovered as an abundant small nuclear RNA in the mid-70s but a possible function has only recently been suggested. Two independent studies have found that 7SK RNA binds the CDK9/cyclin T complex (known as elongation factor P-TEFb).
Source: Rfam by way of RNAcentral